Molecule: long non-coding RNA, 346 nt
Filed under: Cucumis sativus (cucumber)
Lineage: Eukaryota; Viridiplantae; Streptophyta; Magnoliopsida; Cucurbitales; Cucurbitaceae
Description: long non-coding RNA (CSAT_LNC001705)
Source: RNAcentral
UUCAUUUCCUCCUAACUAAAACCAGUAGUUGAUAUGUAAAAUUAUCUCAAAAUCGAUCUGGGAACAUUGAUGGAAGCUUAGGCGUAAACUAUUAAGCUUGACUAAACAUUCACUCAUUUGUAGGUUCCCAUGCCGACGCCAGUUUCUCCGCCGUAUGGAAGAAAGCUUUCUCUCGCCUUCGAGUAGAAUACAUAGUAGAGUUCUGAUACAAUCGCAUUGAGGAAAAUGAAUGCUGCACCAGCGCCGAAAACUCCCUUCCUCAAAGUUUGGCAUGAUGGAGGAUUGUCACCGAACAUGGUUCGGUAUUUGGUGUGGUAUGCGUUCCUUACUGAACCCGCAAACAAGC